CGCAACGCGCAGAACCUAACCAACCCUUGACAUCCCGGUCGCGAUUUCCAGAGAUGGAUUUCUUCAGUUCGGCUGGACCGGAGACAGGUGUUGCAUGGCUGUCGUCAGCUCGUGUCGUGAGAUGUUGGGUUAAGUCCCGCAACGAGCGCAACCCUCGCCUUUAGUUGCCAUCAUUUAGUUGGGCACUCUAGAGGGACUGCCGGUGAUAAGCCGGAGGAAGGUGGGGAUGACGUCAAGUCCUCAUGGCCCUUACGGGUUGGGCUACACACGUGCUACAAUGGCGGCGACAAUGGGCAGCGAAGGGGCGACCCGGUGCAAAUCCCAAAAAGCCGUCUCAGUUCGGAUUGUACUCUGCAACUCGAGUGCAUGAAGGUGGAAUCGCUAGUAAUCGCGUAACAGCAUGACGCGGUGAAUACGUUCCCGGGCCUUGUACACACCGCCCGUCACACCAUGGGAGUUGGUUUUACCCGAAGCUGGUGCGCUAACCGCAAGGAGGCAGCCAACCACGGUAAGGUCAGCGACUGGGGUGAGGUCGUAACAAGGUAGCCCUAGGGGAACCUGGGGAUGGAUCACCUCCGUAAGCUUGGAUCCCGGGAAU
This 598-nucleotide ribosomal RNA is filed under the name uncultured Parvibaculum sp. RNAcentral's name for it is "bacterial SSU rRNA". It matches the Rfam family "Bacterial small subunit ribosomal RNA", at positions 955 to 1533 of the family's 1533-position model. Lineage: Bacteria; Pseudomonadati; Pseudomonadota; Alphaproteobacteria; Hyphomicrobiales; Parvibaculaceae. The record is from RNAcentral.